AUGAACGCUGGCGGCGUGCCUCAUACAUGCAAGUCGAGCGAACAGACGAGGAGCUUGCUCCUCUGACGUUAGCGGCGGACGGGUGAGUAACACGUGGAUAACCUACCUAUAAGACUGGGAUAACUUCGGGAAACCGGAGCUAAUACCGGAUAAUAUAUUGAACCGCAUGGUUCAAUAGUGAAAGACGGUUUUGCUGUCACUUAUAGAUGGAUCCGCGCCGCAUUAGCUAGUUGGUAAGGUAACGGCUUACCAAGGCAACGAUGCGUAGCCGACCUGAGAGGGUGAUCGGCCACACUGGAACUGAGACACGGUCCAGACUCCUACGGGAGGCAGCAGUAGGGAAUCUUCCGCAAUGGGCGAAAGCCUGACGGAGCAACGCCGCGUGAAUGAUGAAGGUCUUCGGAUCGUAAAACUCUGUUAUUAGGGAAGAACAAAUGUGUAAGUAACUAUGCACGUCUUGACGGUACCUAAUCAGAAAGCCACGGCUAACUACGU
Molecule: ribosomal RNA, 495 nt
Filed under: uncultured bacterium
Lineage: Bacteria
Description: partial 16S ribosomal RNA
Rfam family: Bacterial small subunit ribosomal RNA
Source: RNAcentral